RNAcentral lists this unclassified non-coding RNA (1255 nucleotides) under Hevea brasiliensis (rubber tree). Lineage: Eukaryota; Viridiplantae; Streptophyta; Magnoliopsida; Malpighiales; Euphorbiaceae. The record is from RNAcentral.
UCCUGCUUCCUCUUAACCAAACCCUGCCCACUUUCACAACAGGGUUAACUAAUUUCUAGUUUGCCGUUACUUUUUAGCAUUCUUAAUUGCUUUACUCUUACAAAUAUUUGCAAUCUUUUGCAGCUCUAUCAUCUCCUUAUUUGGUUCUUAACAACCUUCCGCUCCAUAUUUGAGAAAGAGAGGGAAGACUAUACAGGAUAAUAAUUAAGCUAAAAUCAGGGGGAAAAACAGGUGAAAUGAUAAAUAUUAUUUUCGUUAUAUGUAAUGUAAUCAAUAUUGCAAUAUAAUAUGUUGUUAUCUGAACAUAUGAUCUAUUCUAUCAUCCACAUUACAACAUUAACUUCCAAAUGUAAUGAUUUGACUGAAACUGAACCCCACUUCACCUCCAAAUCAACUAAGAUAAACAUAGCAAGUAAACUACAAAACUAUCACCUGAAGAAUAAAUAGAAAGCUAAAGAAAUGAUAAAACAAGGAAGAGGAACAACAUCACGUUAGAGGAAAACCCCUCUAGUAGAAUAAACAUUGUAAAUAACUCAAAAAGCCAUAAAAUGCCUAUGGUGCAGCAACAACGGGAAUUGAAUUUUCUAUUGGCUUCUUUACAUAAUUACUCUUUGGAUUGUAGCCGUGGAGAGAGAGAUUCUUUGUUAGAUUGAUAAGUCAUGGGAUUAGUCGCUUUCUUGAUCCUCAAAUCAUCAUCGCAUUUCCUAUCUCCGGCUUUUGUAUGCUUCUGCACAAUAAAAAUAGAGUUGCACUUCCAUAGCAGUCCGCAAACUUAAAAUUGGAGCACUGAUACAAUUCACAGCAGUCAUUCAAUUUUAGUUAAGUAUCUAGGCAAGACUUAAGGCUGAGUUGUUGUUGUUGUUGUAUCUAGGCAAGAUCCCAGAAAAUCUCUUUUUAGUGUGUAGAGAUUUCUCUCGAUUUUCAUAGAAAUUGAAGUCAUCUAACAAUGAGGUCUUAGCUGAAUAACUCUUAAAUAUAUUCAGCAUUUCCAAACCUUGCUAAAGUCCAAUCUGCAAAUUAUUAUAACAAAUCGUGUCAAUCCAACCUUUAAUAUAUUCAACAAGAACAGAGGCCACCAUGCACAAGUUUCUAUUCUAGCAGCAUCUUUUGCCAGAUAUAUUGAAAUAUCAAGCCUAAAUUGUAUAGUACAACCACUGAAAAUAACAGAAAAAUGGCAACAUACUCUGCUAAGUUGAGUUUUUAAUGCAGGGGAACCAUAUGCACAGCAUACUGCAGAAGACUUCCACAAAUAGAA